Molecule: ribosomal RNA, 468 nt
Filed under: uncultured bacterium
Lineage: Bacteria
Description: partial 16S ribosomal RNA
Rfam family: Bacterial small subunit ribosomal RNA
Source: RNAcentral
GACGAACGCUGGCGGCGUGCUUAACACAUGCAAGUCGAACGGAAAGGCCCUGCUUUUGUGGGGUGCUCGAGUGGCGAACGGGUGAGUAACACGUGAGUAACCUGCCCUUGACUUUGGGAUAACUUCAGGAAACUGGGGCUAAUACCGGAUAGGAGCUCCUGCUGCAUGGUGGGGGUUGGAAAGUUUCGGCGGUUGGGGAUGGACUCGCGGCUUAUCAGCUUGUUGGUGGGGUAGUGGCUUACCAAGGCUUUGACGGGUAGCCGGCCUGAGAGGGUGACCGGCCACAUGGGGACUGAGAGACGGCCCAGACUGCUACGGGAGGCAGCAGUGGGGAAUAUUGCACAAUGGGCGGAAGCCUGAUGAAGCAACGCCGCGGGCGGGAUGACGGCCUUCGGGUUGUAAACCGCUUUCGCCUGUGACGAAGCGGGAGUGACGGUAAUGGGUAAAGAAGCACCGGCUAACUACGUG